This is a small nuclear RNA of Mastomys coucha (southern multimammate mouse), 126 nucleotides long. The record is from RefSeq and is a predicted model, not a curated record. NCBI's taxonomy places the organism in Eukaryota, Metazoa, Chordata, Mammalia, Rodentia, Muridae.
AUGAUGUAUGAAAGAAUAGAAGGUUAGCACUCCCCUUGACAAGGAUGUAAGAGGCCCUUGGGCCUAACAACACUCAUACGGUUAAGACAUUGCCACCUACUUUGUGGCAUCUAACUAUUUUAUUUA